RNAcentral lists this ribosomal RNA (468 nucleotides) under uncultured bacterium. RNAcentral's name for it is "partial 16S ribosomal RNA". It matches the Rfam family "Bacterial small subunit ribosomal RNA", at positions 28 to 507 of the family's 1533-position model. The record is from RNAcentral.
GACGAACGCUGGCGGCGUGCUUAACACAUGCAAGUCGAACGGAAAGGCCCUGCUUUUGUGGGGUGCUAGAGUGGCGAACGGGUGAGUAACACGUGAGUAACCUGCCCUUGACUUUGGGAUAACUUCAGGUAACUGGGGCUAAUAUCGGAUAGGAGAUCCUGCUGCAUGGUGGGGGUUGGAAAGUUUCGGCGGUUGGGGAUGGACUCGCGGCUUAUCAGCUUGUUGGUGGGGUAGUGGCUUACCAAGGCUUUGACGGGUAGCCGACCUGAGAGGGUGGCCGGGCACAUUGGUACUAAGGUACGGCCCAGACGCCUACGGGAGGCAGCAGUCGGGAACAUUGCACAAUGAGCGGAAGCCUGAUGCAACAACGCCGCGUUCGGGAAGACGGCCUUCUGGUUGUAAACCGCUUUCGCCUGUGACGAAGCGUGAGUGACGGUAAUGGAUAAAGAAGCACCGGCUAACUACGUG